Molecule: transfer RNA, 60 nt
Filed under: Macrohectopus branickii
Lineage: Eukaryota; Metazoa; Arthropoda; Malacostraca; Amphipoda; Macrohectopidae
Description: tRNA-Arg
Source: RNAcentral
AAAAUAGAAGUAACUUAUACUUUUGGCUUCGGCCCAACUUUUGGCUUAGGCCCUAUUUUU